RNAcentral lists this ribosomal RNA (235 nucleotides) under uncultured Lactobacillus sp. RNAcentral's name for it is "partial 16S ribosomal RNA". It matches the Rfam family "Bacterial small subunit ribosomal RNA", at positions 127 to 354 of the family's 1533-position model. The record is from RNAcentral. Lineage: Bacteria; Bacillati; Bacillota; Bacilli; Lactobacillales; Lactobacillaceae.
UGCCCAAGAGAUCGGGAUAACACCUGGAAACAGAUGCUAAUACCGGAUAACAACAGAUGAUGCCUAUCAACUGCUUAAAAGAUGGUUCUGCUAUCACUCUUGGAUGGACCUGCGGUGCAUUAGCUAGUUGGUAGGGUAACGGCCUACCAAGGCGAUGAUGCAUAGCCGAGUUGAGAGACUGAUCGGCCACAUUGGGACUGAGACACGGCCCAAACUCCUACGGGAGGCAGCAGAG